UACGGGGGGGGCAAGCGUUGUUCGGAAUUACUGGGCGUAAAGCGUGCGCAGGCGGUUCGUUAAGUCAGAUGUGAAAGCCCCGGGCUCAACCUGGGAACUGCAUUUGAAACUGGCGGGCUUGAGUAUGGCAGAGGGGGGUGGAAUUCCGCGUGUAGCAGUGAAAUGAGUAGAGAUGCGGAGGAACACCGAUGGCGAAGGCAGCCCCCUGGGCCAAUACUGACGCUCAGGCACGAAAGCGUGGGGAGCAAACAGG
This 253-nucleotide ribosomal RNA is filed under the name uncultured prokaryote. Its description in RNAcentral is "partial 16S ribosomal RNA". It matches the Rfam family "Bacterial small subunit ribosomal RNA", at positions 524 to 776 of the family's 1533-position model. The record is from RNAcentral.